GCUGAAGUAGCUCAGCUGGUAGAGCAACGCAUUCGUAAUGCGUAGGUCACGGGUUCAAAUCCCGUCUUCAGCU
RNAcentral lists this transfer RNA (73 nucleotides) under Deltaproteobacteria bacterium. RNAcentral describes it as "tRNA-Thr". It matches the Rfam family "tRNA". From Rfam's summary of the family: Transfer RNA (tRNA) molecules are approximately 80 nucleotides in length. Their secondary structure includes four short double-helical elements and three loops (D, anti-codon, and T loops). Further hydrogen bonds mediate the characteristic L-shaped molecular structure. tRNAs have two regions of fundamental functional importance: the anti-codon, which is responsible for specific mRNA codon recognition, and the 3' end, to which the tRNAs corresponding amino acid is attached (by aminoacyl-tRNA synthetases). tRNAs cope with the degeneracy of the genetic code in two manners: having more than one tRNA (with a specific anti-codon) for a particular amino acid; and 'wobble' base-pairing, i.e. permitting non-standard base-pairing at the 3rd anti-codon position. Lineage: Bacteria; Pseudomonadati; Myxococcota; Myxococcia. The record is from RNAcentral.